AAGUCGUAACAAGGUUUCCGUAGGUGAACCUGCGGAAGGAUCAUUAACAAAAAAAUACAAAAAAAAUAAAACACUUUACUAACCCCCUUUCUAGAACUUUAAAUUGGGAUGCCAUUUUGACCCUAUUUUUUAUUUACUAAACGAAAUCUAAAACAAUAUAAAAUACACACAAUAACCUAAAAAAAUAAACAACACUAAAUUUUAGUGUAUAAUCAAAUAAUAAGAAACAACUCUUAACAAUGGAUAUCUCGGCUCUCGU
This 259-nucleotide unclassified non-coding RNA is filed under the name fungal sp. RNAcentral's name for it is "partial internal transcribed spacer region". The stretch from base 1 to 46 matches the Rfam family "Eukaryotic small subunit ribosomal RNA", at positions 1786 to 1831 of the family's 1831-position model. The record is from RNAcentral. Lineage: Eukaryota; Fungi.